This is a long non-coding RNA of Marmota monax (woodchuck), 1857 nucleotides long. RefSeq lists it as uncharacterized. The transcript is spliced from 2 exons. Lineage: Eukaryota; Metazoa; Chordata; Mammalia; Rodentia; Sciuridae. The record is from RefSeq and is a predicted model, not a curated record.
CUGAAGCCGCAGCUCUCUGCCCGCCUCCCUGGGUGAGCUGUUGGCUACCUUACAGGCAGUUUGGAUCGGGAGUUUGCUUGUUUUCUUUAUGCUGGAAAACAGCAUGCCAAGAAUUUUCACACUUCUCAUUACUAGGGGAAAGAAUGGGAGAGAUGCCACAAUACAGCCUCUGACUGUUGGGAUUGAAGCAAGUUUCCUACCGUCUGAGCUCACUGAUAUCCCAGUCAGGAGGUACUUUGACCACAGAGAGCAUCCAGCCCAUGAGGGCCCCUUCCCCCUUCUCCCACCUCCAGCGUCCCCAGAGGAGAUUGCACAACCUGUUGGCCCACACAGACGAACAAGCAGGGUGAGCCCGGCCAACCACAUUUCUGAAGUCAGGAGCCCUGGACUUCAAGGUGUACCGUCUGGUGACUCUGUCUUCCUACAGAAGCCCCAGGACUUGAUGGGGUGUGUUUAAACUCUCCCCAUCCCUGACGCCUCCCCUCUUCCCACCUCAAACUCAAGGCGGUUGCUCCCAGCUUUCUGAGCACCUGGCCUGCCUGCCCGAGCACACCUGAAGACCCUGGUCCUGGCAGCCCUGUCCAUUGCUAGCUGCUAGGGCGGCCACUGCCCACAGUUCCUUGCUGCCUGGGUUUGUAGGGCUGGUGGCUAAGCCACUGGAGGGAGGGUCUGUUUUCCUCUCUGCGUCCACCUGGGCCUAGUUCUGCAGGUAGGACUGGCUAGUCCAGAGGAGAGAUUUAUGGUGUAAUGAAAAAGUUGAAGCCUGAUUCUGCACCUCUGUCCUGGUCAUGUUUGACGGGCAGGACUCUAGAUAUGCCCCCACCCCUGCCAAGCCAAGAUUCCUGUUCCCUGAUUUUCAAUCAUAUGCUGAACUGGGUCCUAAUGUGAGGGGAUUUUGAAGAGAUAACUCAAGUCCCUGGGUAAUCCCCCAGGUGGCCUGGCCUGAAUAAGGGAACCCUUUAUAGAGUUUUCUCUGGCUGGAAGCAGAGAGGGGGGACUCCGUGAGAUUUGUUGAGUCGAGGGAGGGGGCUCUGUAUGAAGGCGGCAAGAGGUGGUGACAGGGGAGAUCACCUGGGGCCUACAGUCAGUGAGAGGACCCUAGUUUUGACAUGCAGGUGGCCUGGGAGCCACUAGAGGGCUGAACUGAGGCCUGGAGAGAGCUGAUUUAAAAGAGGGGGCAAGGAAUACAGCCCAGCAGAGAGGCUGCAGUGUCAUCUGAUGGGGGACAACAGGCGGAGGAGGUACCUGCAGAGCUGAGAAUUUACAUAGGGAUGGGCUGUGAGAGGAAGGGUCAAGGAAGAUUCUGGGCUUCUGGGCUAAAGGCCAGACUUGCUUUUCACUGUAGGGAGCAAGUUUAGGGGAGGCCAUGGGCACCAGCCAGCCAUUACACCGACCCUGGGGGGUCCUGGAGCUGGGGCGGUGUCCGCUGAGAGAGGAAGGAGGCCAUGGUCAGCAUCAAGAUGGUGUUUAAGAGCCGGGCACGGUGACCAUGCCUGGAAUCCCAGGACUCCUGAGGCUGAAGCAGGAGGAUGGCAAGUUUAAGGCCACUCUGGGAAACUUAGCUGGACCCUGUCUCAAGAAAAGAAAAGGAAAAGAAAAAAGAAAAAGAAAGAGGGCUGGGGAUCUAGCUCGUGCCUAGUGUGCAUGCGGCCCUGGGUUCCAUCCCCAUUACCACAAAAGGAAAGAUGGUGUUGAAGAAGGCAGGAGGCUGAAGAGAGGUCCUAGCGACUGUGUGGAUGGGGAGAGGCUCAGGCACCCCAGUGACCAGAAGGGACAUCAGUGUGCCAGAAAGAAACCUUCAAACAUGACUUUUAUUAUUACUGUAAUUAUCAUAAAACCUAUGUAACGUUGACAUUA